Molecule: non-coding RNA, 208 nt
Organism: Pelobates cultripes (western spadefoot toad)
Lineage: Eukaryota; Metazoa; Chordata; Amphibia; Anura; Pelobatidae
Source: the annotation of a GenBank genome assembly
UGGGAAUGGUGUUUACAAUCUCAUUGUGCAACUGGGAGGUUACCCAUGGAAGAUCUUAGAUGCCACAUUAUAAGUUCACAUGUCCUCGAGGGGUAUCUGCAGAAAAUGUGAAGACCAGCAAAAUGACAGUGCCAAAAAGGCCUGUGACUAUUACAUGUCUGGCUCUUCCAUGGUCUGGAGAUUAAAUGCUGUUUGUUCAUUAUUCCUU